UACGAAGGGUGCAAGCGUUAAUCGGAAUUACUGGGCGUAAAGCGUGCGCAGGCGGUGCUGUAAGACAGGCGUGAAAUCCCCGGGCUUAACCUGGGAAUGGCGCUUGUGACUGCAGUGCUGGAGUGCGGCAGAGGGGGAUGGAAUUCCGCGUGUAGCAGUGAAAUGCGUAGAUAUGCGGAGGAACACCGAUGGCGAAGGCAAUCCCCUGGGCCUGCACUGACGCUCAUGCACGAAAGCGUGGGGAGCAAACAGG
RNAcentral lists this ribosomal RNA (253 nucleotides) under uncultured bacterium. RNAcentral's name for it is "partial 16S ribosomal RNA". It matches the Rfam family "Bacterial small subunit ribosomal RNA", at positions 524 to 776 of the family's 1533-position model. The record is from RNAcentral.